This 440-nucleotide long non-coding RNA is filed under the name Equus caballus (horse). RNAcentral's name for it is "lncRNA (ENSECAG00000047299.1)". The record is from RNAcentral. Lineage: Eukaryota; Metazoa; Chordata; Mammalia; Perissodactyla; Equidae.
AUCUGAAAACUCCGCUUCCAAUUAAGAACUCAAUCCAGGUUGCCGCUGUAUUUUCCAUCAUGGAACUUCUUAAUAGAUAAGGAAAAUGAGACCCAGAGAGGCUGGAGAUCAUGGCCUUGCUCUUCCGUGCCAAGUUGCUGGACUCAUCUCCUCAGAGUGCUUCCUUUGAACUUCUUUAAUGCCACUUGACCAGACUUCACGUUGGGCUAUACUCAUGAGAUUUCCCUCCAGAAAUAGCCAAGGUACCAGCCGUGCGAGUACAGAAACUUGCAGAUGAUUCCAACCCCAGUCAUUUUAAUCACCCCCAGACAUUGUUCCUAGCUGAGGCCCCAGAUAUUGAGGAGCAGAGACAGGCCAUCCCCACUGUACCCUGUCCAAUUCUUGAUGCUCUGAAUCUGUGAGCACUAAGUUUGGGGUUGUUUGUUACACAGCAAUAGGUA